This is a long non-coding RNA of Magallana angulata, 246 nucleotides long. RefSeq lists it as uncharacterized. Lineage: Eukaryota; Metazoa; Mollusca; Bivalvia; Ostreida; Ostreidae. The transcript is spliced from 2 exons. The record is from RefSeq and is a predicted model, not a curated record.
AGCUUGUGUGCAGUCGUUUGGUGAAAAUUGCCAGUAUCCCUGUAGCCAACACUGCUAUAACAAGGAAUGUGACAGAUUUAACGGAACUUGUCUUACUGGCUGUACACAUGGAUUCCAUGGACAAAAAUGUAACAAAGAUAUCCAAAUGAUGAAGCAGGAAUGUUCAUAUUCUGGUUGGAUUGUUUGGUUUUCUAUUUCUCUUGCAUUUAACACCGUUUUAUUGACUGGGAUAUGCGUGAUGUGCAG